Molecule: non-coding RNA, 2978 nt
Organism: Bactrocera oleae (olive fruit fly)
Lineage: Eukaryota; Metazoa; Arthropoda; Insecta; Diptera; Tephritidae
Source: RefSeq, a predicted model, not a curated record
UUUCAUUUUCAUUUUUAUUUUUGUAUGUUCAAUUUUUGUAUUAUUUUAUUUUAUUUUUGUACUUUUAUUGUUUUUUGUUUUGUUUCUUUGUUGUUAUUUUGCCAUUCUGUUUUUUUUUUUCUUAACCCAUCAAUUAAGUACGUAUUACACCAAAAUUCGCUCAAACCUGUUUUGUGAUUGUGACGCUAAAAGAAAUAUUUCUCUUUCUGCCCAAAAUAUAAGAUGUCAUAAACAUAAACAAUCCAAACAAAAAUUAAAAAAAGUAAAAUAUUAAAAACAAAGGGAAGUGAAUAAUUUAGGAAAAUCUGAAAGCUGGAUUGAAAAAAAAUUUAUUUUGCUAAAAAACUCUAAAGUUGAAUCAACAUAAUCAAAGUUCAAAUGUAUUUUCUUCUCCGCCAAAUGAUUCUAGAAGUUUCUUAAAUUAUUUCGUGAAGUAAUUAUUUAUUGAAAUAAUUGCGGAAAGACAAAGUUCGCUGAGUAUAGUUAUAUAAAAUUUUUUUAGAAAACAGAGGCAUAUUACAUAUAUUUAACAGUUUAUUGGAAGAAUUGGAUGUAACCAGACUGUGAGUAUGUGUAAAAACUAAUUAGAAGUUACAUACAUACAUAUAUUUCACAGGGUUGGGAUUUUUUUAAUUUAAAAACUAUUGGAUUAAAAAUUAAAUUUUCAUUUUUUAAUCCGAUUAGAUUUUAAAUUUUUAUUCCAGGCGUUUGGGAUUAUAAAUUGAAAUUUUAAAAUUUUAUUUUUUAAUAUGAAUGAAGCACGUAAACGCAAAAAAAUGUUAAUUUUAAAACCAUUUCUUUUUUUAUUCUUGAUUAUAUGUUUGGGAUAACAUUUUUUCGUUAAUCCGGUAGUUGGGUUAGUUUAAGACUGUUAAUCCGGUUUGGGGAAUUAAAAAAUGUUGUUUUUGGAUCCGGUAUGUGGUAUUAAAAUUUUAUUUUUGUUUUUUAAUCCCGUAUUUGGGAUUAGAAAUUAAAAUUAAAAAUUUAAUUCAAAUGUUUAAUUCAAUUAUUUCUAAUGCAUUAUUUGCAACCCUGUGUAUAUACUAGUUUAUCGUUAUACACUUAAUAUAUUUUAUUUUAUGAGAUUAUUUUAUGUGGGAAAGUACUACUUAGAAUUUUAAAUUGUUUUCUUACUAGUCAAGUAUGUUUUGCCGAUGAGUUCAAACAUGCAAAUUAGUAAUUAUUUAUAAUUUAAAUACCGAAGUAGAUACGAGUACUCGAUAGUGCAACUACCGUUAAAUUUAAUUGACACGCGGGAAAUUGAGCAUAACAGAGUUAACAACUAGCUUUGACUUUAGUUGUAAACAAAAAUGUAUGUGUGUCGAUACAUAAUUAUGUAACAUCAGCUACUAAUUGCACAUUGUUUACUAUAUACGUAUGUAUAUACAUGUAUAUGUAGGUGUAAGUCAUUUAACACCGCUUAAAAUCUGACAUUACUGUUUACACAGCUGUAAUGAAGUUAGAAUAAUUAUUGGGAAUUAUUGCAUCCGCAAUUAAAAGCUGUAUAAUCAGAAUAUCUGAGCUUAGAAAUUAAAACGUACAUGAUACAAUAAAAUGUCUACCGCACACAAUGUUUAAAAAUCGCAGUAACAAAAACAAAAUAAAAGGGUUCGUUUAUUACAACUCACUGUAUUGUUGUUUUAUUUCGUCGCUUGCGCGCCUUCGUCCACUCCGCUCAGAAGCACAAAUGUGAAUGAAUUCGUUGGAGUUCGCCGCCAAAAGUCAGUGCGCCAGACCACAACAGCCAGCAAAAACAUGCGGUUGCGUCGCGAUGAGCAUUGCCGCUGCCGUUGCUGCUUCUUUCUGUUUUUGCCUCUGUUAUUGUUUGUAGUUGUUCCGCACAGAAAAGAGUGGUCAUUUGCUGUGAGUUUGGGGUUGGCGGCAGCAAAAACACUUGCUAUAUAAACAGCAGCAACAGUUAUUCUGUUUUUGUUUGUUAUUAUUUAAAUCAGCUUUAUUUUUGUUGUCAACAGCGAACGCGUAUAUGCAAAACAAAAUAAAUACGCGAAAAUAAUAAUUCGCGGACACAAUGUCCGAAAAUGAAAUCGUAAAAAUAUACACACAAACCAACAACCUGCGAAAAUUUCCGUAAUUAUCGGCAAAUUUAAAGUAAUAUAUUUUUAUUUAGUUUGUUUUUGUUUUUUAUAUUCUUAUUUUACUUUCAAAGAAACCUAAUGAAACCUUUUCCUCUUUCAGUUAUUAAUUAUUUAUUUUUAACAAAGUUUAUGUUCAAACACAUUUAAACAAUCUAUAUCGUUUAGAGAUAUAUGUAUAUUUUCAGCUUAGUUUCUUGACAUGAAGGCGUGGCGGUUUUAUUAAUGAAAUACAAAACAAUCUUCGGCAGCAUUUUAAUAACUCUCACAGUUUAAUUUCUUACUGCAUAAAAGGGUAUAAAAAGAUUUGUAUCUAGUGUAGAUUUUGAUCAGUUACCAUAAUAAUCUAAACUAAUAUAUUCCAAACUUCCUAAAGAUAAUUUUUCAAAUAAAAACAUUUUUCAUACAAGGACUUCAUUUUGAUCGGACAGUUUGUAUGGCAGUUAUAGUGGUCCGAUAUCGGCGGUUUUGACAGAUGAGCAGCUUCUUGAGAGGAAAAGGACAUGUGCGUUCUACCUAUUUAAAUCGUACCGAACCCAAUUAGCGCUAAUAUUAAACAUGGCAUGGCUUUGAGCCAUGGAACCCUAGUAAAAGUCAGCGCUGGUGACGGAGGGCUUAAAUAAAGAACAAAACACAAAGGAGGUUAUCACAAAUGCUAGUACAAAUAUUUUCUAUUCCUUUUGCCUUGUUAUUGUUACGGCAACUACAUAUUGUAAAGGCCACAUACAUAUGUAUGCAUGUGAAAGUUAUCCUCUUUGAUGUAUGUAAAUAUACUAAUAUUAAAUUUGUAUUAUUCGCUUCGGGUGUUAACAACUGUUCUCACUAUAUUGUUAUUGAAUAUGCAUACCUGUGUACUUUAGACGAAUAAAAGCCAUUAAAAACCUC